UACAGAGGGUGCGAGCGCUGUCCGGAAUCACUGGGCGUAAAGGGCGCGUAGGUGGCGCUGCAAGUCGGUGGUGAAAGCUCGAUGCUUAACAUCGAGUCGGCCAUCGAAACUGCAGGGCUGGAGCACUGUAGGGGCAGAUGGAAUUCCGGGUGUAGCGGUGGAAUGCGUAGAGAUCCGGAAGAACACCGGUGGCGAAGGCGGUCUGCUGGGCAGUUGCUGACACUGAGGCGCGACAGCGUGGGGAGCAAACAGG
Molecule: ribosomal RNA, 253 nt
Filed under: uncultured bacterium
Lineage: Bacteria
Description: partial 16S ribosomal RNA
Rfam family: Bacterial small subunit ribosomal RNA
Source: RNAcentral